UGAGUGCUCCCGGAUGUUAGCGGCGGACGGGUGAGUAACACGUGGGUAACCUGCCUGUAAGACUGGGAUAACUCCGGGAAACCGGAGCUAAUACCGGAUAGUUCCUUGAACCGCAUGGUUCAAGGAUGAAAGACGGUUUCGGCUGUCACUUACAGAUGGACCCGCGGCGCAUUAGCUAGUUGGUGGGGUAAUGGCUCACCAAGGCGACGAUGCGUAGCCGACCUGAGAGGGUGAUCGGCCACACUGGGACUGAGACACGGCCCAGACUCCUACGGGAGGCAGCAGUAGGGAAUCUUCCGCAAUGGACGAAAGUCUGACGGAGCAACGCCGCGUGAGUGAUGAAGGUUUUCGGAUCGUAAAGCUCUGUUGUUAGGGAAGAACAAGUGCGAGAGUAACUGCUCGCACCUUGACGGUACCUAACCAGAAAGCCACGGCUAACUACGUGCCAGCAGCCGCGGUAAUACGUAGGUGGCAAGCGUUGUCCGGAAUUAUUGGGCGUAAAGGGCUCGCAGGCGGUUUCUUAAGUCUGAUGUGAAAGCCCCCGGCUCAACCGGGGAGGGUCAUUGGAAACUGGGAAACUUGAGUGCAGAAGAGGAGAGUGGAAUUCCACGUGUAGCGGUGAAAUGCGUAGAGAUGUGGAGGAACACCAGUGGCGAAGGCGACUCUCUGGUCUGUAACUGACGCUGAGGAGCGAAAGCGUGGGGAGCGAACAGGAUUAGAUACCCUGGUAGUCCACGCCGUAAACGAUGAGUGCUAAGUGUUAGGGGGUUUCCGCCCCUUAGUGCUGCAGCUAACGCAUUAAGCACUCCGCCGGGGAGUACGGGUCGCAAGAUGAAACUCAAAGGAAUUGACGGGGGCCCGCACAAGCGGAGCAUGUGGUUUAAUUUCAGCAACGCGAAGAACUUACGUCCCUGACACCUAAAAGGCUUCCCUUCGCGAGGGGGGUGGCGUCGCUCGCGGUGGUAAGAAAACCCUAUUGCUUUGCUCUAGCCAAAGCCUACUGGGUGACCGACUGGUGUUGCAACUCUCGUGGUGUGACGGGCGGUGUGUACAAGGCCCGGGAACGUAUUCACCGCGGCAUGCUGAUCCGCGAUUACUAGCGAUUCCAGCUUCACGCAGUCGAGUUGCAGACUGCGAUCCGAACUGAGAACAGAUUUAUGGGAUUGGCUAAACCUUGCGGUCUUGCAGCCCUUUGUUCUGUCCAUUGUAGCACGUGUGUAGCCCAGGUCAUAAGGGGCAUGAUGAUUUGACGUCAUCCCCACCUUCCUCCGGUUUGUCACCGGCAGUCACCUUAGAGUGCCCAACUGAAUGCUGGCAACUAAGAUCAAGGGUUGCGCUCGUUGCGGGACUUAACCCAACAUCUCACGACACGAGCUGACGACAACCAUGCACCACCUGUCACUCUGUCCCCGAAGGGAAAGCCCUAUCUCUAGGGUUGUCAGAGGAUGUCAAGACCUGGUAAGGUUCUUCGCGUUGCUUCGAAUUAAACCACAUGCUCCACCGCUUGUGCGGGCCCCCGUCAAUUCCUUUGAGUUUCAGUCUUGCGACCGUACUCCCCAGGCGGAGUGCUUAAUGCGUUAGCUGCAGCACUAAGGGGCGGAAACCCCCUAACACUUAGCACUCAUCGUUUACGGCGUGGACUACCAGGGUAUCUAAUCCUGUUCGCUCCCCACGCUUUCGCUCCUCAGCGUCAGUUACAGACCAGAGAGUCGCCUUCGCCACUGGUGUUCCUCCACAUCUCUACGCAUUUCACCGCUACACGUGGAAUUCCACUCUCCUCUUCUGCACUCAAGUUUCCCAGUUUCCAAUGACCCUCCCCGGUUGAGCCGGGGGCUUUCACAUCAGACUUAAGAAACCGCCUGCGAGCCCUUUACGCCCAAUAAUUCCAAACGCUUGCCACCUACGUAUUACCGCGGCUGCUGGACGUAGUUAGCCGUUCUGGUUAGGACCGUCAAGGUGCGAGCAUUACUCUCGCAUUUCCAACAGACUUUACAUCGAAAACUCACAGCUCCAGAUUUGCGAAUCAGUCCAGGGAGCCAGGGCACA
RNAcentral lists this ribosomal RNA (2046 nucleotides) under Bacillus pumilus. RNAcentral describes it as "bacterial SSU rRNA". The stretch from base 1 to 934 matches the Rfam family "Bacterial small subunit ribosomal RNA". Lineage: Bacteria; Bacillati; Bacillota; Bacilli; Caryophanales; Bacillaceae. The record is from RNAcentral.